Molecule: long non-coding RNA, 1461 nt
Organism: Gasterosteus aculeatus aculeatus (three-spined stickleback)
Lineage: Eukaryota; Metazoa; Chordata; Actinopteri; Perciformes; Gasterosteidae
Source: Ensembl
UUUUUACUGUCACUGUGUUCCCCUCGUGUUCGACCAGCAGCUGUGAGGUUGCUGGUUGAAAUCCUCACUCAGACAGGUAGCCGAAGAGCUGCAGAGUCACGGUGUGGAUUGCGCAACAGGGCGUUUCCUGCAGAGGGUAAAUGAAAUACCGUGAGAUGUGUCCGUGGGGGAGACACGCACAGACAGACUUCACAGGUUUCACAACAUGUGACCAGCGAUGAUGGAAUAUGUGUCUUAUUCCACACAGAACUUCCCCUGAGAAACUACUUUUGUCUGUAAGAACAAUUGGAACUAUGAAAGUUAAGAUCAGCAGGGAUUGAGGACAAAUAAAAGGUUUUAUAGUUAAAAAUUAUCAUGUUUAAAGUGACGAAAGGUCUAAUAUCUGUAAUCAAUGCAGAACAUACAUAUUGUAGGGGAGCACAUCUGGCACACGCGUGUGUCUCAUCUGCAUGUGAAUGAGUUAUAGCUGCUGCCGUGUCGGUAAUUACCCACAUUUAUAAUUGAUUUGGAGAUGAUUAGAUAAAAGAGUGCAGCCGUGUGCUGAAAGUUCCGUCUAGUUCAAGAACUUUAAUAGACUCAUCAUCAUCAUCAUCAUCGUCACCAUCAUCGUCAUCAUCAUCAUCAUCAUCACCAUCAUCACCAUCGUCAUCGUCACCAUCAUCAUCAUCAUCACCAUCGUCAUCGUCACCAUCAUCAUCAUCGUCAUGCUGAGUUGAUUCAUUUUUCUACUGAAAACUCUUCUCAUGUUAGAAAGUGGAAUCCUGACCCGCACAGUAAAAAGAUUCAAGUUGAGUGUGAGUGACACUAAAUGACUGCAAGUGACUCGAGUUAAAGUCUUUUCUCGGGGACUAAUGAUAUGAUAAGGAUAUGAAGCUCGUCUUCACUGUCUGUCUCCACCAGAGUCCACGUGUCCUCGGGUCAAACAGGAAGCACCACGGCCUCAAAAACAACACGCAGCACGUUGUUAGCGGAAUGAAAUGCGUUGCUGCUGCGGGUCACGUCUGUCUGGGGCAGCGUGUAAAUCAUUUAUGUGUAAUAAGAGCCGGGGGGGCGCUCGGGGGUCACGGAUGUUGUCGGAGCACAUUCCCACAUCUGUGCACAUCAGGAGAGGAGCUGAAGUCGACACAAAGCCAGGCGAUGAAGCGGAAGUAGCAUGUUUAGACCAGGAGGGGGCGCCAGAAGAAGCCCAUGAAACCAGCGACCAGCGAACAAACGUGCACAUACAAUACAAAUAAAACGCAGCUGAUACUCGUCCCAGGGUGCUGCUGCUGGUUGGACAUGAAGAUCAUUCAGAUGUUGCGUGUUAACAGCUACUGGGACGUCAGUGCCGCGUCAUUACAAAGAUAAAGCAAAGGACGGAGACACGCGGCAGACGCUGCUUGUCUGGAUCCAACUUUCAUGUCAUAUUUCUAUAUUUUACAUGAGCUCUUUUCUCCCCUUGCUGUGAGCUGCGCUCUUCAG